This 326-nucleotide ribosomal RNA is filed under the name uncultured eukaryote. RNAcentral's name for it is "partial 18S ribosomal RNA". It matches the Rfam family "Eukaryotic small subunit ribosomal RNA", at positions 1470 to 1796 of the family's 1831-position model. The record is from RNAcentral.
CCCUUAGAUGUCCUGGGCCGCACGCGCGCUACACUGAACGGAUCAGCGCGUUUUCCCUUCCCGAGAGGGACGGGUAACCUGCUGAACCCCGUUCGUGGUAGGGAUCGGGGCUUGCAAUUAUUCCCCGUGAACCAGGAAUGCCCAGUAAGUGCAAGUCAUAAGCUUGCGUUGAUUACGUCCCUGCCCUUUGUACACACCGCCCGUCGCUACUACCGAUUGAACGUUUUAGUGAGGUACUCGGACUGAGCCUCAGAAGAUUCACGUCUUUUGUGCUGCUCGGGAAGAUUCCCAAACUUGAUCGUUUAGAGGAAGUAAAAGUCGUAACA